This 3862-nucleotide long non-coding RNA is filed under the name Homo sapiens (human). RNAcentral's name for it is "HSALNT0299584". Lineage: Eukaryota; Metazoa; Chordata; Mammalia; Primates; Hominidae. The record is from RNAcentral.
CUGACCUGUAGUUUGAUUUCCAGUGUCUAGACUUAACAGUCUGAAUUUAAACACGAGGCAUAUACACAAAAUCAUCUGGAACUGAUUUUUUCACACUAAACACUUCUUUCUGAUCCUACUUUCCAGGAGGCUCCUUCCUCCAAACAUACCUCCAGAUGAAAAUCACUUAAUUAACCAAGAAAGACUCAACCGCCCUUAACUGCUUUUCUAAACAGUCACACAUACUGGAUUUACUUAUUUUGAGACAUGACAAACCAGUUGCAAACCACAAAUUCAUUCUCAUGGGCCCUCCACACGGUCUCUUGUUCCUUCUGAAGAGGGUCUUGCUGAGGACCAUUUGUCCCCCUUCCUGCAGCAGCUACUCAGUCGGUGCCGGAGAGUGUGGCCUUUCGAACUAUUUGCGGUUUUCCUGCCACAUGAUGCUGACGGACCUCAGCCUCUCCCGGCCUUGGUGCACAUACAACAGCCUGUAAAAGCUCCACUUUCUAUUCCAGAUUGCUGUUAUGCGUCUGCUUCUCAUUCAAAGGAAAUAAGAGGAGAUGUAAAUCGUCGCUGUGCAGUUACGUGUUUAAUGAAAAUGAUCUUGCAUGCUAGAUUCACGUCCAGGAGCGAGUCGCCCUUACUGCUGGUAUUGAACUCACUCUCCUUGGAGCGCCCCAAGGCUGUGGGCUGUGGGGGGGCAUUAGUGUGUGUGGGCGCAGCUAUUAUUUGUACCAGGAGGCACAAGUCUGCACAGCAACCUGAAGAUUUAGAUUUUCAAGAAACUGCAAAUCCUGACACACCUGGUGAUAAAACCCAGAUGCUCUCCCCAACUCAUACCUUGUCCCGCAACUCCCACUCCCCACUUCCUGACUAGACUUUUUAUUUUUUGGUCCAGAAGAUAGGGGUAAGAGAAGAAUGCUGAAGGGAGUGAGUGGAUGAGAGAAUGCUUGGCUUACUUGCCCAUUAGAUAGUUCCAGCUCCAAAUACUGUUCUAAUUAAGAACAAAAUAAAACCAUUCUCCCCCACUGGCUGUCUGGUAUGUAGACAAAUUUGGAAAUAGGUAAACAGUUGCUGUAUUAGAAUUGGGUAUAUUUUAGCUUGAUGACAAUAUUUACUUGAUUUUAUCACUGAAGAGAAUCACGAUCUUUGUGACAUAUACAGUCCUUCUUAUUCUUUUAGCUCUAUCUUUAUUAAACUAGAUUGUCAUCAAAUGGUGGUGGAAUCUAUUGACAUGUAGAGAAGGAAUGUUUUACUUAGGAGGUUGUCAAGGAAUGUCUGUCAAGUAGGGGUAGAAGGAAGGAAUUAACAGGGCUUUGAGAACAUUCUCACAUUUGAAGUGCUAAUAAUUUCUGGUGUGAAUUUGGUGAUAACAGUGUUUCAGUAUUUAAUAUUAAUUUGAAUUUUCUGGCUGGUUAUUAACUUGAGUUACGUUUAUAGGUGAUGAAACAAACGAAGAGGAUUGCAUGUUUAUACACAGUAGAACUUGAGGGUUUUCUAAUAAGCAUACUUUAACAUUGCCUCAGCCUGUAAAUCUGGGAUUACAAGGCAGAUAAGUUUUAGGGUGAUUACUUCUUUCACCCCAUAAUUACUUCAUGGAUUUGCCGUGGUGUUUCUUCCAGAAGGAAUUUCAGCUUUGGAAAAAACCAUGCACACACACAAAGAUACAAAUAAAGUGUAAGUGAAGUAAUCAGAGUAAGAGGUUGGGGAAGACUUCUCCCCAUGUGCCUUUCCCCUUGCUGACUUCGCUUGGUGUUGUUUCCCUGUAAUAAACUGCAGCUGUGAGUACGACUGUGUGCCGAGCCCUGAGAGUCUGCCUAGUAGAUAACUGAAACUGAAGGUGGUCUUGGGCUCUUCCUGAUGCAGUCAGCUGUGGAUGUAGUGGUACCUCUCAUAGCAUAAAGAACGCAAAAGUGGUAGCAGGUUUGGGAGUGGGAGCAGUGAUGCAUUCUGCUGUAAGUUUUCCAAGGUAGUCACUUAUAUUGCUUUACUAGGGUUAUUUUGAGCUAGCAUUUAUUAUUAUAUGUUUUCUAUUUCAAAAUUAAGUUACCAGGAAAAUCUAAUUUUUUUCAACAUACCUUCGCUCAUUAAUUAAUUCAUUCAGCAAGCAUUUGCUGAAACGUUAUUGAACAUUUGGAACUGGUUAGGCAUUUUAAGUGCCAUAAGGAUGCUUAGGAAUAUGGGUCAAGUGUUCAAAGGGGUUAUAAAUACACUGGGUAGCAAUAUAUUUAGUGGUCUCUGGAGUAGCUCUGUCAACACUGUCGAAUUUGAAAUUGUAACUUAAGUAUUCUGUACUGUCUUCUCUAUUUUAACUUUCAUAUUAAUGCUUAAAUGCCUACUGUUCCAACAUAAAUGGAUUUUGCUUAACAAAUACUUUCUGCAUGUAACUCUACCUGUACCUAGCUAUUACAGAUAGACCAUAGCUGUUAUAGGUAGACUAUAUGGAAGAGGAAGGCUAAUAUUUAUUGAGAAUUUCGUAUGCCUCUAACGCUAUGUUAAGCACUUCACAUCCAUUAUUUAAUCAUCACAAAAGCCCUUUGAGGUAGAUGCAAUUAUUAUUAUUGUUAUUUUUAUAGACAAUGUCUUACUGUGUUGCCGAGGAUGGACUUGAACUUGGAGUCAGAUCUUUCUACCACAGCUUCCGGAGUAGCUGGGACCACAGGCAGGUGCUACUGUGCCCAGAUAGUUACAAUUAUAAUCCGCAUUUUGCAGUUGAGAAAACUGAGGCAAAGGGAGAUCACGUCAGGUCACAGCAGUAGGACGGGACCUGGGAAGUGUGACUGUGGAGUGUGUGUUCUUAAUCUGUGUGCCCAAUUGUUAAGUAAGGAGAAAUUACAAAAGACAAAGGUUUCAAUAACUCUUUGCAAGAAGUCCUUAAAUGUGAACAGAAGUACCUAUUUUCCACACAUUUUAUGUCCUUUUUUUUUCUUUUUAGUUUACAUGUAUUUAUGGGCUACAGAGUGAUAUUUCGAUACAUGUAUAUAAUGCAUAAUGAUCAAAUCAGGGUAAUUAGCAUAUCCAUCAGCUUGAACAUUUAUCAUUUUUGCCACACUUUUUAUCUUGUUGAUAGUGCACAAUUUUCAUGGCUUUGCCUCUUGUUAUUUCCCCUCAUGUAUGUAGGUCUGGUGAAAUCACACGUAGGGAGAACAUUUUUACAAUGCACAUUUGUGAAGGCUUAGAAACACGGUGGUUACAAACUGAGCUUUGCCACUUAAUCUCGUGUGACCUGGAUAAACGACUUCAUACCAAACUUCAUAUAGUUUCCUCAUCCAUAAACCUGUAACACUCAGGCUUAUUGGAGUAACAUAUGAAAUGGAGGUUAUCUAAGUAUUUGUUGAAUGAAUGUCCCCCUGCCCGCACUCCCUCCGUUUUUUUCUUUUUCUCCUGCUUCCUAUGAAAUAGAAAACUGGUAGGCAUUGCAGGAUGAAAUGAGGAAAGGCAGGGAGGAGAGGCAUAAAAUAUAUUCUUGCUAAUUUGCUAGUGUCUUUUUUUCCCCUCAUCAACUUUAUUGAGCAAUAAUUUUAUGCAGUUAAAUGAAUCUAUUUAAUUGGAUGAAUUUUGACAGUUUUAUAUACCCAUGAAGCCACAGUCACAAUCAAGAUAGAGAACAUUUCCAUUACUUCCAAAAUAUUUCUGUGCCACUUUUUUCUUUACUAUUUCCUUAUUGUAGUAAAAUGUAUAUAUAAUGAAAUUUUCCAUUAUGACCACUUUUAGGUAUACAAUCCAGUAGCAUUAAGUGCAUUCAUGUUGUUCUGCACCCGUUACCACUGUCCAGCUCCAGAACUCUUUUUCAUCAUCCAGAACUGAAACUUUGAACCCAUUAAAUGAUAACUCCCCAUUCCCCUUUUGCCCCAGCCUCUGGCAACCACCAUUCUACUUCCUG